GAUGAACGCUGGCGGCGUGCCUAAUACAUGCAAGUCGAGCGAACAGAUAAGGAGCUUGCUCCUUUGAAGUUAGCGGCGGACGGGUGAGUAACACGUGGGUAACCUACCUAUAAGACUGGGAUAACUUCGGGAAACCGGAGCUAAUACCGGAUAACAUUUAGAACCGCAUGGUUCUAAAGUGAAAGAUGGUUUUGCUAUCACUUAUAGAUGGGCCCGCGCCGUAUUAGCUAGUUGGUAAGGUAACGGCUUACCAAGGCGACGAUACGUAGCCGACCUGAGAGGGUGAUCGGCCACACUGGAACUGAGACACGGUCCAGACUCCUACGGGAGGCAGCAGUAGGGAAUCUUCCGCAAUGGGCGAAAGCCUGACGGAGCAACGCCGCGUGAGUGAUGAAGGGUUUCGGCUCGUAAAACUCUGUUAUUAGGGAAGAACAAAUGUGUAAGUAACUGUGCACAUCUUGACGGUACCUAAUCAGAAAGCCACGGCUAACUACGUG
Molecule: ribosomal RNA, 497 nt
Filed under: uncultured bacterium
Lineage: Bacteria
Description: partial 16S ribosomal RNA
Rfam family: Bacterial small subunit ribosomal RNA
Source: RNAcentral